GUUAGGAAUAUUGGACAAUGGGCGAAAGCCUGAUCCAGCCAUGCCGCGUGAACGAUGAAGGCCUUCGGGUUGUAAAGUUCUUUAGCCGAUGAUUAUAAUGACUGUAGUCGGAAAAUAAGCCCCGGCUAACUUCGUGCCAGCAGCCGCGGUAAUACGAAGGGGGCGAGCGUUAUUCGGAAUCACUGGGCGUAAAGCGUGCGUAGGCGGUUUUGUAAGUUAGGAGUGAAAGCCCAGGGCUCAACCUUGGAAUUGCUCUUAAAACUGCAAGGCUCGAAUCUCGGAGAGGAUAGCGGAAUUUCCAGUGUAGCAGUGAAAUGCGUAGAUAUUGGAAGGAACACCAGUGGCGUAAGCGGCUAUCUGGACGAGUAUUGACGCUGAGGCACGAAAGCGUGGGGAUCAAACAGGAUUAGAUACCCUAGUAGUCC
RNAcentral lists this ribosomal RNA (425 nucleotides) under uncultured bacterium. RNAcentral's name for it is "bacterial SSU rRNA". It matches the Rfam family "Bacterial small subunit ribosomal RNA", at positions 354 to 796 of the family's 1533-position model. The record is from RNAcentral.